CGGGCCUGAAGUAAAGCUCCAUAAGAGGAAAAUGCAAACUGAACCUAACACCACACGCUCCAGGGGAAAGGAACCACUUGGCCAGUCGAUUUGGAUCAGAGUGGGUCAUUUGCAGUAUUUUCCCAAUUCAGGACGGGCCGUGUCCUGGGGAGGACCCGGAGCUGUGCGGCGGUGGAGACAGCUGCCACUUGGCGUGGGGCAAAGGGAAAGCCAUGGUUCUGG
Molecule: long non-coding RNA, 222 nt
Organism: Grus americana (Whooping crane)
Lineage: Eukaryota; Metazoa; Chordata; Aves; Gruiformes; Gruidae
Exons: 3
Source: RefSeq, a predicted model, not a curated record